GUGAAUCAUCGAGUCUUUGAACGCACCUUGCGCCCUCUGGUAUUCCGGAGGGCAUGCCCGGUUGAGUGUCAUGAAUAUCUCAAACCCAGUGCUUUGUUUGAAGGUCUCAUCGACUUGCUGCUGUCGCCUAGCGAGGCUUCGGCAGUCGUUGUGGGGCUGAAGCGCUGGGGCUUGGACUUGAGCCUGUGUUGGCCUUGCGUCGACUGGCUCGAAAUCUAUGAGCGAUGUGUGAUCCUUUGGGUCCGUCUCGGCGUGAUAAGUUGAUCGUCGCAAGGAUUCCGUUGGGUGUGGCACGCUUCUAAUCGUCUUAGGACAACCUCUGACAUUUACACCUCAACUCGGGUAGGACUACCCGCUGAACUUAAGCAUAUCAAUAAGCGGAGGAAAAGA
This 390-nucleotide ribosomal RNA is filed under the name Tulasnellaceae sp. CBS 504.93. RNAcentral describes it as "eukaryotic LSU rRNA". The stretch from base 329 to 390 matches the Rfam family "Eukaryotic large subunit ribosomal RNA", at positions 1 to 62 of the family's 3401-position model. Lineage: Eukaryota; Fungi; Basidiomycota; Agaricomycetes; Cantharellales; Tulasnellaceae. The record is from RNAcentral.